RNAcentral lists this ribosomal RNA (492 nucleotides) under uncultured bacterium. RNAcentral describes it as "partial 16S ribosomal RNA". It matches the Rfam family "Bacterial small subunit ribosomal RNA", at positions 29 to 507 of the family's 1533-position model. The record is from RNAcentral.
AGUGAACGCUGGCGGUAGGCCUAACACAUGCAAGUCGAACGGCAGCACAGUAAGAGCUUGCUCUUACGGGUGGCGAGUGGCGGACGGGUGAGGAAUACAUCGGAAUCUACUUUUUCGUGGGGGAUAACGUAGGGAAACUUACGCUAAUACCGCAUACGACCUACGGGUGAAAGCAGGGGAUCUUCGGACCUUGCGCGAUUGAAUGAGCCGAUGUCGGAUUAGCUAGUUGGCGGGGUAAAGGCCCACCAAGGCGACGAUCCGUAGCUGGUCUGAGAGGAUGAUCAUCGAAACUGGAAAUGAGACACGGUCACGGCUCCUACGGGAGGCAACAGUGGGGAAUAUUGGACAAUGGGCGCAAGCCUGAUCCAACCAUACCACGUGGGUGAAGAAGGCCUUCGGGUUGUAAAGCCCUUUUGUUGGGAAAGAAAAGCAGCAGGUUAAUCCCCCGCUGUUCUGACGGUACCCAAAGAAUAAGCACCGGCUAACUUCGUG